ACUCAAAGGAAUAGACGGGGGCCCGCACAAGCGGUGGAGCAUGUGGAUUAAUUCGAUGCAACGCGAAGAACCUUACCAAGGCUUGACAUGGAGACGACAGGUGUAGAGAUACACCCUUCUUCGGACGUCUCACACAGGUGGUGCAUGGUUGUCGUCAGCUCGUGUCGUGAGAUGUUGGGUUAAGUCCCGCAACGAGCGCAACCCUUAUCUUCAGUUGCCAGCAAGUAGAGUUGGGUACUCUGGAGAGACUGCCGUGGAUAACACGGAGGAAGGUGGGGAUGAUGUCAAAUCAUCAUGCCCCUUACGCCUUGGGCUUCACACGUGCUACAAUGGUCUUUACAAAGUGAAGCGAAGCUGCGAAGCGGAGCGAACCACAAAAAAAGACCCCAGUUCGGAUUGCAGGCUGCAACUCGCCUGCAUGAAGUUGGAAUCGCUAGUAAUCGCGAAUCAGCAUGUCGCGGUGAAUACGUUCCCGGGCCUUGUACACACCGCCCGU
This 496-nucleotide ribosomal RNA is filed under the name uncultured bacterium. RNAcentral describes it as "bacterial SSU rRNA". It matches the Rfam family "Bacterial small subunit ribosomal RNA", at positions 899 to 1397 of the family's 1533-position model. The record is from RNAcentral.